AAAAGAUAUAUCAAACAAUAAAAUGAGGGCUGGAAUGUAGCUCAGUGGUAAGGUGCUUUCCAAGCAUGCACAAGGCCGUGGGUCCAUUGUCAGUACC
Molecule: microRNA precursor, 97 nt
Filed under: Microtus ochrogaster (prairie vole)
Lineage: Eukaryota; Metazoa; Chordata; Mammalia; Rodentia; Cricetidae
Description: miRNA (ENSMOCG00000007070.1)
Source: RNAcentral